UACAAGUCCUGAUUCCCAAUGAGGUUAUUUGUUGACCUCAGGUUCAAAAGAUAUUUGGUGUCAGUGUGCAAAAUAUGGCGAACAAAGCCAGAAAAUCAGGAGGUGACUGUCAGCUAAAUCGUGAAUUUACCUCAAGAAGAGUCGAAAUAGUUUCUGAUUAACAUUCUCUGGCUUUUGUGUGAAGCUGUGUGAAAGAAGUUUACUAGGAUCUGACAGCUUUGAUAAAUGUACAGAUGGAAAAGCAUGAUAAUUAAAUGGAAGCCAACAGUAUGGUCUUGCAAGAAGACAAAUGACAUGAUUGAAAUUUGAUGUGAAAGCUCAAGUUCUGGAGUUGCAUAUCAUACAGUAAGAUGCCAUACCAGUGGCAUAGGAAUACCAUCUAGUUAAACAGUAACAAAGUCAGAGUACAUAGUCUUCAGUUUAUAUUAAAUUCUGAAAUCCUCUGGAUGAACCCUAGUGCAUUUAUGUGAACCAAAGCACAAAUUAACCAAAGCACAAAUUGAUCACAGCACAGCCGGUUUGUGAAGGUUUGGAUGUGGCCUAAAAAUUUAUUGCAAUACUCAAGCCAAAUUGUAUCGUAGCUAGCUGAUGUUGAAUAUCUAACUGAUAGAAAAUUAAUCAGGAGGAACUUUUGAUCAAAUGAAUGCAUGUUUUUCCAUAAAGUAUUGAAGAAAGAUUGUGGAAAAUACUAGUUUGGAAUGUAUGCUCAUAUCUCAGCAGUUAGUAAUCCAAAAUUGGAAGUUAUUGAUGUGUGCUGUUUUCUGAUGUUGAGAUGAUACACAUGUGCAUAUGACGACACCUAUAUUUUACUAAUGUACCGGUACAUCUUUGUACUCUUUUUCAAUCAUUCUUAGCGAUUGCAUCCUCUUACAGACAGAUAUACUGUAUACUGUAAUUACGGUAAUAUUUUUUUUCAUCCUUCAGACAGAUAUACUGUAUACAGUAAUUACAGUAAUUUUUUUUUUCAUCCAACAGUCUAGCAAAUUAUUAUGGUGUCAAAACUUUUUUUACAAGGAGUUUAAUGAUCAUUUGUAGCUUUUAGGAAAGUACAGUAGCAGACUCCCUGUGACAGUGAAAAUAAAUGCCAUGUUUUUCAGACUAAAAAUGCUUUAGGCAGUUUAUAUUAAUAAUAAGAAUAAUAACAACAGAAUAAUUAAUUAUAAUAAUGUAAAUAAAAAUUAUAUUAAUUAUGAUAAUGAUAAUACAGAUUAAAUAAUAAAAUUACAACCUCCUUACACCAGCCCUAUAAUGAGGAGCACCCAAUUUUUAGUUAAACAUCUCUGUAAAAAUAAUGGUACAGUCUUAUGGUUAACACUAUAUGAAGGUCAAAAAGAAAACUCAGACCCACUAAACACAUUAUAGUCACAAAAGUUCAGCCCUUAACCCUCUUCAUUUGGUUAAAACUCCCUUAUAAAUAGUUAUGGUACAGUAAAAAAAAAAUCAGCACUAGGUGUUUCGGUCUGAGAAAACUCUUCCCUUCAUUAAGCUCAGUUAUUUUUACAAAAUUAAAACAAAAAGAAACAAAAUAUUAUUUAUUAUUACUGUUUACGUAUACUAUACAGUACAUAUAAAAUUCCUUUAUGCACUUUGCAACAACAAAAUAGUGCACAUGAAAUAAAAAGUUAAUUGAUUACUUUGAAAGUUAAUAAAUAAAACAGAAAUAUCAAUACCUGGUUUUAUCAAAUUUGCAAGCAAAAUUCAAGCAAGUGUUCAUAUUUUAUCAGUGGUAGAUUUUUGGGACAGUUCUCUUUCAAGAGAUGGUGUGGUUCGAAUCCACACUACCACUAUUGGACAUUAUGUUUGUUAUUUUGUGUAGCUCUAGUCAGGCUGUAGUUCAUAUUUUUUGUAAUUCAUGUAAUCAUCACACAAAGUUUAAUUUUUCAAAAAUUCAAACUUAAUAGAAAAAAAAAACUACUAUUUUAUUAGAGUGCACCACCCAAUUUGAGACCCCACUAAUUUGAGACCACUUUUUCAAAGAACCAAAUAAGAAUCUUCAUUUCUUUUAUUCACAAAGUAACCCUCUAAUUGGAGACCGAACCCAGAGACGACCCUAAGUUUUCAGACCACAAGGCGGUCUCGAAUUUGAGGGCGAGCUGUACUAUUAACGUUUCUAAUCAGUUGUUAGUCAGAUAUUAAUACCUUUGUAUAUAAAAUAUGAACUGAUUUUUUAUAAACCUUGUAUUUGUAAAUGGAAGCAGCUUAGCUCAUGUUGCUAUAUUGAUGGUAGCAUGUGUGUCCGAUGAACGUUGCCAGUUCAAUUCCGUCUACUGGAGAGCUGAAUUGCAAGUUUAAAUAAUGCAGUCCUUCAUAAGAGACCUUUAAUAGUAGUUAUGGAAAUGUAGCUUGGUUGCUAAGAUGCUUGCCCCCCAAUCCUAGUGCCUGGGUUAAAUUUCUCUCUUAUGGUGUAUUGCAAAACCAAGCACUUUUGAAAGUUGUAUAUUUCGUUAGGUUUAUUAGCUUCCAACUUUAAAUUAGAAAUUUAUAAUGAAAUCAUUGCCAAUAAAGAUAUUUGAAUAUAUAUAGACUUAGAAUAUUCAUCCCUGCCAGCAAUGAUUUGCAGUAGCGGAUUCAAUGUGAGGCGGGGAAGUGGGAUCCGUUAUUUCUAAUCCUUUAAUCCGCCACUGAUUUGCACAUUAAAAUGUCUAAUUGAAAACUGAUUUCUGUGUUUUUUUCAAUGAGUAAUUCAGAAUUUUUUUUUCUUAGGUUUCUCA
This 2711-nucleotide long non-coding RNA is filed under the name Anneissia japonica. Its description in RNAcentral is "uncharacterized LOC117110569". The record is from RNAcentral. Lineage: Eukaryota; Metazoa; Echinodermata; Crinoidea; Comatulida; Comatulidae.